This 404-nucleotide ribosomal RNA is filed under the name uncultured bacterium. Its description in RNAcentral is "bacterial SSU rRNA". It matches the Rfam family "Bacterial small subunit ribosomal RNA", at positions 29 to 416 of the family's 1533-position model. The record is from RNAcentral.
AUUGAACGCUGGCGGCAUGCUUUACACAUGCAAGUCGAGCGGCAGCGCGGGGUUCAGGCAACUGAGCCCUGGCGGCGAGCGGCGAACGGGUGAGUAAUACAUCGGAACGUACCCAGGAGUGGGGGAUAGCCCGGCGAAAGCCGGAUUAAUACCGCAUACGAUCUGUGGAUGAAAGUGGGGGACCGUAAGGGCAACUGAGGGCCUCACGCUUUUGGAGCGGCCGAUGCCGAUUAGCUAGUUGGUGGGGUAAAGGCCUACCAAGGCGACGAUCGGUAGCUGGUCUGAGAGGAUGAUCAGCCACACUGGGACUGAGACACGGCCCAGACUCCUACGGGAGGCAGCAGUGGGAAUUUUGGACAAUGGGGCAACCCUGAUCCAGCCAUGCCGCGUGCGGGAAGAAGGCC